CUCUACCUCUGGUGAAAAUUUCAUGCAAAUCGGAGAACCUCCGGCCCAAACCUGUCCGAUAAUUUAAAAAAAUGCCCUUAAGCUCGUUCAUUCCCGUUCUUAACAAGGCUGGAGUAUAGAAGUUAUCGCGGUUUUCAAGUUUCGAGUUGUUAGAUUUUUCUGUGCCCUUCGUUAACGUACCGAAGUAAAUUGUACGUGUUUCCGGUCAUUUUGACCGUGGUCCCGCGGAUAUUCUAUUCGUGCUUAAGAUUAUUCGUACAACAAGCGCUUAGGCGCUUUUUGUAUUACGGGCUGGUUGAGAGUUU
Aedes aegypti (yellow fever mosquito) is the source of this 305-nucleotide long non-coding RNA. RefSeq lists it as uncharacterized. Lineage: Eukaryota; Metazoa; Arthropoda; Insecta; Diptera; Culicidae. The transcript has 3 exons. The record is from RefSeq and is a predicted model, not a curated record.